RNAcentral lists this long non-coding RNA (1979 nucleotides) under Polistes dominula (European paper wasp). RNAcentral's name for it is "uncharacterized LOC107070936". Lineage: Eukaryota; Metazoa; Arthropoda; Insecta; Hymenoptera; Vespidae. The record is from RNAcentral.
AAAACACUGUAAAAGAAAAAAGAAAAGUAAGAAAGAGAGAGAGGGAUAAAUUGCACGCUUUGCGAUUUCUCUAACGCGUAACGGGGUUUGCAAAGAAAGAAAGAAAGAAAGAGAAGGAAAGAUAAAUAUUUUUUGUAUUCAUAGUUUCGUUCUCUUUUUACGAUUAAGGGGAUUUGUCAUCGAAUCCGCGUUUGGUACGAAUCCAGGAAAAAUAAAUGUUUCAUGAAAUCAAUUACAUUUUAAAAUACUUUGCUGACUGUUUAAAAACCAAGAAUAAAAUGAAUUAUAAAAGUAGAUUAAAAAAUGGUAAAGAUAUGGGUAUAUGCAAUAUUAAAGUUUGAAAAUUGUUCCUGCAAACAGGAAUAAUGGAAUCAUUUUUCUUACAGAAAAUAAAGGGUAAGGAAGACAUUAAAUACGAAGGAAGUAAAUUCAUUCUGUUUUAAUGAAUGAAUGCGAGACCACGAGGGAAGGAGCAAGAUCAUUUACACUUACUGUAUUUCGUCUGCGUUUUUAGUCUCGUGUUAGUUGAAACAAAAAAUGAUCUACCAAUAAAAAGUAGUAGAGACAGCUUUUUUUUUCUGGUAUUAGUUUAUAUAAGAUAGAAAAGUAUAUUUUAUUUAUAUAAUCUCGAAAUUCCGUUAUGUAUCGAUAACCGUAUAUGGUCAUGGGAAAGUAAGUAAGUAAAGUAUGUAUUAGUAUUGUAUCAGAUUAGAUAGAACCGUACUUGCUACGUAAAUUCUAGAUUUGAAUUAUGUAAACAAGAAAUUUGUAUGUAUGAUACGAUCAUCGUAAUUAAACUUCAUUCUAGAUGCAAAUUAUAUUCUACCUACGUAACAUUCUAUUAAUUUAUAAAUCAUUAACGAUUUAUCCUGAUUCGUCAUUGUCUCGAUACCAUGAAGAUAAUUACACACGAUGUUUAGAUACAGAGAAUGAACAGAGAGAUAUGGUAUGGUAAACCCGUUGCGAAUGCACUAGCUAACUUUAAUACAAACGUCGGAUUACAGUUGACCCAGUUACCAAUGACCACCACUGAGAAUUGUUUGGUUUGUUUUCGAACAAAUGUCCAAUUAAUCUUCGAUUGCAUUUGAGCACUGUUAGCCAACGAAGUCAUCUACUUUCAUAGAAAAAUUCUAUACCACAGUUUGGUGGCUAGAUGGGAACGAUCAAGAAACAGAACCUUGAAAAGACAAGUUAUACGAUAUGCUCCACGCAUAGUGAUUCAUAGUCGAUUGGUUUGACGUAAUCGUGCCUCAACUACCAGAUCAGUAAUAAGGUGUACACUCGAUCACCAUGUUUUAACUUUAUUCACGUUGACACUUCCGUUCGUAAAAUUAUAAAUGAAACAAAUAUAGUCAUUCGUUUUACUGACGAUUAUGACAAAUCGAUUUUUUGAAGUAAAAACUUCUUUAGAAUGGGUGUGAUUUGAAAAAAUGAAACACGGUGAUGUAGUGGGGAAAGGAAACGGCCUUAAUAUUACGGGGUGUAAGAAGAAAGAAAAAGGAAAAGAAGGCCAGGCCUUUUACACCUGGCGGGUGGGUAAGCGUCUGAGUGGUUUAAAAGAUUGCAGAUGGCGUAGUAAGUUACAGUAGUCGAUGGAGUCAGGGUGGUGGCAAUCGUGAACGAAGGGAAGCCUUGGGCUGCUGAUGUCUUCAGUCAGUCGGGUGGCAACCAUCGAGUGUGUUGUUUGUGUUGAGCCUGUCAAAAGAGGUAGGAAAAGAACUAUCUCCACGCAAGUGCGUUAGUUACUUUUCAAGGGGAUUACCGAACGGGGGUACACAGUGUGGGUAUAUAAGAGAAUAAAAAAAGCUAAGAAAAGGAAAGAAACAAAAUAAGAAGAUAGAGUGUUAAACAAAGAAGAAUGACGAUUAUAGUAAAAGGAGGUGAGACGACGGCGUGCCUGAAGAACAUGUGAUUUUAAAACGAUAAAACCAAGUUUUCCAAUCCAAUCGGCGGAGGUAAUCGCUGAUUUUCAACGACGA